RNAcentral lists this transfer RNA (66 nucleotides) under Plutella xylostella (diamondback moth). Its description in RNAcentral is "tRNA-Asp". Lineage: Eukaryota; Metazoa; Arthropoda; Insecta; Lepidoptera; Plutellidae. The record is from RNAcentral.
AAAGAAUUAGUUAAAUAAAUAACAUAAAUAUGUCGAAUUUAAAUUAUUACUAAGUAAUAUUCUUUU